Molecule: ribosomal RNA, 253 nt
Filed under: uncultured bacterium
Lineage: Bacteria
Description: partial 16S ribosomal RNA
Rfam family: Bacterial small subunit ribosomal RNA
Source: RNAcentral
UACGAAGGGGGCUAGCGUUGUUCGGAAUUACUGGGCGUAAAGCGCACGUAGGCGGAAUGUUAAGUCAGGGGUGAAAUCCCGGGGCUCAACCCCGGAACUGCCUUUGAUACUGGCAUUCUCGAGUCCGGAAGAGGUGAGUGGAAUUCCGAGUGUAGAGGUGAAAUUCGUAGAUAUUCGGAGGAACACCAGUGGCGAAGGCGGCUCACUGGUCCGGUACUGACGCUGAGGUGCGAAAGCGUGGGGAGCAAACAGG